UCAUCCAUCGUGUUAGUCUUGCUUCCUCUGUUACGUACAAGGUAAGUGCACGAAAUUGAGUUGGGGUUGUCUCGAAACUUUCGACAUAAUUUUGACAAUAGGUUGAUCUUAGCGAUAUAUUGAGAAUGAUGGUGUAAUCGAUUAUUAGAUGGUCGUGUUAGGUUCUGAAAUCCUCUUACGUCAUUUCUGCAUCAAAAUCACUUCAGGUGUGUGCCGAAAACCUUAUUUUUAUGAAUUUCGAUCGCCGAAAAAUAUGGCUGUCGACGCGACACGGCCGUGCGGGUGGCCGUGUAACUCACUGUUUAUCGAUUUGGGGCUACACAAGCAUCUAUCCAGGCCGUGUGUGGUCAUGUUAGUGCAGGGUUCACACGGUCAAGGACACGAACGUGUGUCUAGGCUGUGUAGCUUUCUGUUUGUGACUUAAGACCACAUGGCCAGGGACAUGGGCGUGUUCCCAGAUCAUGUGAGUCACACAGCCGAGGACACAGGUGAGUGUCUAGGCUGUGUAACAUUUUUUAUGCUUUAGAACCACACGGGUAGAGGACAUGAGCAUGUGCGUAGGCCGUGUGAGCCAUACGGGUAAGGACAUAGGUGUGUGUCCAGGCUGUGUGGCAUAUAAAUAGGGCUCGAAACCUAUUUUUGGGGUCGUGUGUGUUGCCCAACAUUGAUAUUGACUUCCCCAGUGUAUGAAUGAUUUGAAUUUUAUCAUACGAGAACUCUCUGAUACUCUGUGACUGAAGUAUGAAUAACAUAACUAUAUGUGUGCUGUAAUACUUAUUCUGAUAUUGGACUAUAUUCUCUACUUGUGAAACAAUUUAGAAUGACUGAAUACAUAUUGUGAAUAUUUGUACUUUGUAUUUGCAUGGGUUGAGAUAUUGUGAAGAAGGAAGUAAUAUGCUCUAAAUUAGUGGCUAAGCCACCAUGCAUAUAAAUCUGAUUCUGGUGCUUUGGCGCUUUUCGAUCUAACAGCUAAGCUACGUCUCUGUAAAUGUUUCAGACAGACACUCUAUGGUGUGUAGAGUUAGUUGGGCAUUGAAUGCCCUUAAUUGUGUGUUAGGAUGGCUGAAGACAGUGUGUAGCAGAUGAGGGUAGCAAUAUUUGCAUCUCAAUAUGAUCUGUUCUGUAUAUGAAACUGAAAUUGCUUCUGUAAAUGUAAUUAAUCUAUCCUGAAUCUGAACUGAAAUUGCUUCUGUUAUUAAGCCAAAUCUUUGAAUAUGGAAACUAUCUUAUUAAUGUGUUCUAAUUGAACAAAUUGCUUUUACUCAUUAAGUUCACAACUCACUUUGUUAUUGAUUGGAUUUCACGUGGUUCUCAGAUUUGAACUGGUCGGCGCCGUGGAACGGUCAAGCUUUUAUCUUUUUUUUUAAAUACUACUAGUAGGAAAUUUGGUAUUCUAUGAUAUUGUAAAGUUUGGAAAGUUUGCAUAUUUAGUUAAUUGCUGUGUUGGAUACUAUGUGAUGAAUGGUUUGUUUUGAUUGCGUUAUAAAUGUGGUGUUUUUAAUAUCAUUGAUGUAACUCUCUAGACUUGGUCUGGACGUCUAGGCCGGGUUUAGGGUGCUACAGUCGGCAAGUUUUCAUACUUAAACGAAAGCCAAACCUUUUUCUUACUAUCAGCUAAAAUGAAUAUGCCCC
Molecule: long non-coding RNA, 1632 nt
Filed under: Gossypium barbadense (sea-island cotton)
Lineage: Eukaryota; Viridiplantae; Streptophyta; Magnoliopsida; Malvales; Malvaceae
Description: long non-coding RNA (GBAR_LNC004151)
Source: RNAcentral